CCUGCCCAAGAGAUCGGGAUAACACCUGGAAGCAGAUGCUAAUACCGGAUAACAACAGAUGAUGCCUAUCAACUGUUUAAAAGAUGGUUCUGCUAUCACUCUUGGAUGGACCUGCGGUGCAUUAGCUAGUUGGUAGGGUAACGGCCUACCAAGGCGAUGAUGCAUAGCCGAGUUGAGAGACUGAUCGGCCACAUUGGGACUGAGACACGGCCCAAACUCCUACGGGAGGCAGCAGGC
This 237-nucleotide ribosomal RNA is filed under the name uncultured Lactobacillus sp. Its description in RNAcentral is "partial 16S ribosomal RNA". It matches the Rfam family "Bacterial small subunit ribosomal RNA", at positions 125 to 354 of the family's 1533-position model. The record is from RNAcentral. Lineage: Bacteria; Bacillati; Bacillota; Bacilli; Lactobacillales; Lactobacillaceae.